CUACGGGGGGCAGCAGUGGGGAAUAUUGCACAAUGGAGGAAACUCUGAUGCAGCAACGCCGCGUGGAGGAUGACACUUUUCGGAGCGUAAACUCCUUUUAUAUAGGAAGAAGAUGACGGUACUAUAUGAAUAAGCGCCGGCUAACUCCGUGCCAGCAGCCGCGGUAAUACGGAGGGCGCAAGCGUUACUCGGAAUCACUGGGCGUAAAGAGCGUGUAGGCGGAUUAAAAAGUCAGAAGUGAAAUCCUAUAGCUUAACUAUAGAACUGCUUCUGAAACUCUUAAUCUAGAAUAUGGGAGAGGUAGAUGGAAUUUCUGGUGUAGGGGUAAAAUCCGUAGAGAUCACAAGGAAUACCGAUUGCGAAGGCGAUCUACUAGAACAUUAUUGACGCUAAGACGCGAAAGCGUGGGGAGCAAACAGGAUUAGAUACCCUCGUAGUC
RNAcentral lists this ribosomal RNA (439 nucleotides) under uncultured bacterium. Its description in RNAcentral is "partial 16S ribosomal RNA". It matches the Rfam family "Bacterial small subunit ribosomal RNA", at positions 339 to 795 of the family's 1533-position model. The record is from RNAcentral.